This 510-nucleotide ribosomal RNA is filed under the name uncultured bacterium. RNAcentral's name for it is "partial 16S ribosomal RNA". It matches the Rfam family "Bacterial small subunit ribosomal RNA", at positions 28 to 507 of the family's 1533-position model. The record is from RNAcentral.
GACGAACGCUGGCGGCGUGCUUAACACAUGCAAGUCGAACGAAGAGCGAUGGAAGCUUGCUUCUAUCAAUCUUAGUGGCGAACGGGUGAGUAACGCGUAAUCAACCUGCCCUUCAGAGGGGGACAACAGUUGGAAACGACUGCUAAUACCGCAUACGAUCCAAUCUCGGCAUCGGGACUGGAUGAAAGGUGGCCUCUAUUUAUAAGCUAUCACUGAAGGAGGGGAUUGCGUCUGAUUAGCUAGUUGGAGGGGUAACGGCCCACCAAGGCGAUGAUCGGUAGCCGGUCUGAGAGGAUGAACGGCCACAUUGGGACUGAGACACGGCCCAGACUCCUACGGGAGGCAGCAGUGGGGAAUCUUCCGCAAUGGACGAAAGUCUGACGGAGCAACGCCGCGUGAGGGAUGACGGCCUUCGGGUUGUAAAGCUCUGUUAAUCGGGACGAAUGGUUCUUGUGCGAAUAGUGCGAGGAUUUGACGGUACCGGAAUAGAAAGCCACGGCUAACUACGUG